RNAcentral lists this transfer RNA (74 nucleotides) under Treponema sp. RNAcentral describes it as "tRNA-Arg". It matches the Rfam family "tRNA". Rfam says of the family: Transfer RNA (tRNA) molecules are approximately 80 nucleotides in length. Their secondary structure includes four short double-helical elements and three loops (D, anti-codon, and T loops). Further hydrogen bonds mediate the characteristic L-shaped molecular structure. tRNAs have two regions of fundamental functional importance: the anti-codon, which is responsible for specific mRNA codon recognition, and the 3' end, to which the tRNAs corresponding amino acid is attached (by aminoacyl-tRNA synthetases). tRNAs cope with the degeneracy of the genetic code in two manners: having more than one tRNA (with a specific anti-codon) for a particular amino acid; and 'wobble' base-pairing, i.e. permitting non-standard base-pairing at the 3rd anti-codon position. Lineage: Bacteria; Pseudomonadati; Spirochaetota; Spirochaetia; Treponematales; Treponemataceae. The record is from RNAcentral.
GCGUCCGUAGCUCAGCUGGAUAGAGCGACGGACUUCGAAUCCGUAGGCCGCAGGUUCGAGUCCUGUCGGACGCA